This 1435-nucleotide ribosomal RNA is filed under the name uncultured organism. Its description in RNAcentral is "16S ribosomal RNA". It matches the Rfam family "Bacterial small subunit ribosomal RNA". The record is from RNAcentral.
GCAGGCUUAACACAUGCAAGUCGAGGGGCAGCAUGGUCUUAGCUUGCUAAGGCCGAUGGCGACCGGCGCACGGGUGAGUAACACGUAUCCAACCUGCCGUCUACUCUUGGACAGCCUUCUGAAAGGAAGAUUAAUACAAGAUGGCAUCAUGAGUCCACAUGUUCACAUGAUUAAAGGUAUUCCGGUAGACGAUGGGGAUGCGUUCCAUUAGAUAGUAGGCGGGGUAACGGCCCACCUAGUCUUCGAUGGAUAGGGGUUCUGAGAGGAAGGUCCCCCACAUUGGAACUGAGACACGGUCCAAACUCCUACGGGAGGCAGCAGUGAGGAAUAUUGGUCAAUGGGCGAGAGCCUGAACCAGCCAAGUAGCGUGAAGGAUGACUGCCCUAUGGGUUGUAAACUUCUUUUAUAAAGGAAUAAAGUCGGGUAUGCAUACCCGUUUGCAUGUACUUUAUGAAUAAGGAUCGGCUAACUCCGUGCCAGCAGCCGCGGUAAUACGGAGGAUCCGAGCGUUAUCCGGAUUUAUUGGGUUUAAAGGGAGCGUAGAUGGAUGUUUAAGUCAGUUGUGAAAGUUUGCGGCUCAACCGUAAAAUUGCAGUUGAUACUGGAUAUCUUGAGUGCAGUUGAGGCAGGCGGAAUUCGUGGUGUAGCGGUGAAAUGCUUAGAUAUCACGAAGAACUCCGAUUGCGAAGGCAGCCUGCUAAGCUGCAACUGACAUUGAGGCUCGAAAGUGUGGGUAUCAAACAGGAUUAGAUACCCUGGUAGUCCACACGGUAAACGAUGAAUACUCGCUGUUUGCGAUAUACAGCAAGCGGCCAAGCGAAAGCGUUAAGUAUUCCACCUGGGUAGUACGCCGGCAACGGUGAAACUCAAAGGAAUUGACGGGGGCCCGCACAAGCGGAGGAACAUGUGGUUUAAUUCGAUGAUACGCGAGGAACCUUACCCGGGCUUAAAUUGCAGAUGAAUUACGGUGAAAGCCGUAAGCCGCAAGGCAUCUGUGAAGGUGCUGCAUGGUUGUCGUCAGCUCGUGCCGUGAGGUGUCGGCUUAAGUGCCAUAACGAGCGCAACCCUUGUUGUCAGUUACUAACAGGUCAUGCUGAGGACUCUGACAAGACUGCCAUCGUAAGAUGUGAGGAAGGUGGGGAUGACGUCAAAUCAGCACGGCCCUUACGUCCGGGGCUACACACGUGUUACAAUGGGGGGUACAGAGGGCCGCUACCACGCGAGUGGAUGCCAAUCCCAAAAACCUCUCUCAGUUCGGACUGGAGUCUGCAACCCGACUCCACGAAGCUGGAUUCGCUAGUAAUCGCGCAUCAGCCACGGCGCGGUGAAUACGUUCCCGGGCCUUGUACACACCGCCCGUCAAGCCAUGGGAGCCGGGGGUACCUGAAGUGCGUAACCGCGAGGAGCGCCCUAGGGUAAAACUGGUGACUGGGGC